GAUCCUGGCUCAGAUUGAACGCUGGCGGCAUGCCUUACACAUGCAAGUCGAACGGUAACAGGUCUUCGGAUGCUGACGAGUGGCGAACGGGUGAGUAAUACAUCGGAACGUGCCCGAGAGUGGGGGAUAACGGAGCGAAAGCUUUGCUAAUACCGCAUACGAUCUACGGAUGAAAGCAGGGGACCGCAAGGCCUUGCGCUCAUGGAGCGGCCGAUGGCAGAUUAGGUAGUUGGUGGGAUAAAGCUUACCAAGCCGACGAUCUGUAGCUGGUCUGAGAGGACGACCGGCCACACUGGGACUGAGACACGGCCCAGACUCCUACGGGAGGCAGCAGUGGGGAAUUUUGGACAAUGGGCGAAAGCCUGAUCCAGCCAUGCCGCGUGCAGGAUGAAGGCCUUCGGGUUGUAAACUGCUUUUGUACGGAACGAAAAGACUCUGGUUAAUACCUGGGGUCCAUGACGGUACCGUAAGAAUAAGCACCGGCUAACUACGUG
This 494-nucleotide ribosomal RNA is filed under the name uncultured bacterium. Its description in RNAcentral is "bacterial SSU rRNA". It matches the Rfam family "Bacterial small subunit ribosomal RNA", at positions 15 to 507 of the family's 1533-position model. The record is from RNAcentral.